RNAcentral lists this unclassified non-coding RNA (2213 nucleotides) under Hevea brasiliensis (rubber tree). The record is from RNAcentral. Lineage: Eukaryota; Viridiplantae; Streptophyta; Magnoliopsida; Malpighiales; Euphorbiaceae.
CAUCAAUAUAUUUGAUUAUUGAAUGUUCUGUGUUAAUUUGGCUUAAAAAGUAGAAAAUGAACUGGAUUAGACAUGACAAUUGAGCCAGCGUUGAAUCUAAAUAAACAAAGCUAGAAUAGCACUACAUUCUUUUUUACUGACAGUGUCAAUCACAUGAAUCCCAUUGAGAACUACACACUAUUUUAAAUAAGUUGCUGCUGGUUAGAAGGAUUUGGUUUUUUAAUCCCUCAUUGGUGCAUAAUCAGAACAUAAAAGUUACAGAAUUUAUGUUCAUAAUGAUAAGGAAAACACCACCAGAAUUGCCCCAAGCAGCCACCGUAGGCGAACUGGUCUUUCAUCCAAAUAAGCAAAGCUGGAAUCUGCAGCACCAGGAACUGGAGCAACCUCAGCCACAGGCUCAUUACAUACUCCAAAGGUCAUAUUUGGCUGCAAAUGAGAAAGAAAUAUUUAAGUGUUAAUUAAGAAAUUUGCCGUUUCUCCAAUAGUUCUCCACUAUUGUUUCAAGUAUCCAUUUUCUAAGCAGAGAAGAAAGCUAAUCUCAUUACCUUACCAUAUUUCUAACGUAAUUUGUGAUCCCUAUUACUUGCUCUUUUGUCUUAAAUAAAUAUCAAUUCAUGACCUAUAAAUCCAAAAUUAACCAGUUGAAAUAAACAGAGGAACUUAUAUAAAAAAGGCUACAGCAGACCUUGCAAGAGGCAAUAUUUCCACAACCACAGACCAGAUGACCAUUUGCAAUAUCUACAGCUUCUGGACUUCCCCCACCAUCGCUUCUCUGGAGUGUUUGCAUACAAAUCAAUCGUACAUGGCACUACUUUCUCCAUAUACUUGCCCAAAAUAUUAAAUGAUACAAACGUAUUGUCCAUACCUUGUAAAAGUCAACUGCAAUGAAGUUAGGCCAUCUUUUACCUGCUGCAGCAUAACAUGUGUUCACCAUAUCUAUCAAGGGAGCAGAAUUAUGCUUGCAAGCUUGGGUUACAUCUGGUCUAUCAGGAAAGUAAUUCGCUAAUACUAGCGACCUUGAUGUUGUGUUCAUGGCAGGUGACUCUGCACGGUUUGGACAUGAACCAGCUAUCAUCCCACCGUCUCCAUAUUGGUUUUCUACUACGUAUCUCCAUUCAUAGGCAAUUCCUUCAGAAGCUUCCUUAGCUGAUUUUGAAGUAAAAACCACUAGACGCUCAUUCUUCUGAAUCAUAUCAUCAACAGUUGGCCAAUCUCCACCAUUUUUUGGCAUUCGAGAUACAGGAAACCAAUAUUUCUUCAGGCCAGCAGCAUUAAACACAUUUGUCAAGCCAUUUGGUGAUGAAACAUAGUCCUCAAUUAUAAUAGUGAUGAUUUCUGAAGGAUUUGCUUCAAGAAAUACUUGAACCUCUUUCAAAACAUUAAUUGCUGGUUGAAAAGCUGUAAAGUUGUAGCACUUUCCACCAAAGGAGUGACACAACCAGAUGUCAUUCUGAAAGUCAUACAUAUCUAACAUCAACCCUCUCACACCAUUAUUGAGUUGAUCAGUAAUGGAGUCCUGCUGAUUCAUGGGGGUUAGAAGUAUAGACCGAGUAGCUGAUCUCACUCCCAAUCUAGCAAACGAAUUAUGGGUUGUCAGCCACGAGUACCGAUUGAACGGCAAUCCCUUCACCAGAUCAAAACACAACAACAGCCAAAACCCAUUAGCAAUUACAUAAAAUAGACGCAAAUUAUAACUGAAAAAAUUGAGACCUUAGAGCAGACAGUGAACUUCUGUAUUGACCUUUGAAGUUGGGCUUAUGGGCUGAAUUCUGGUGCACCGCGGCCGUACAUUUCCAUUUGCCAAACAGGUUUCGCAGUGCAACCCUGAAUCGCAGUUCCUAUCUGCUACACAUGUUUGCCCCUCCUGCAGAGAAGUGGAGAAACUGAACAAAAAAGUUGUAGAGAAGAGAAAGGCAAUGAUGAUGGUUCCCUGAAAUUGCAUUGUUGGGUAUGAUUUUGGUGUGUUGUGAGCAGUAUAGGUGUGUUGAGAACAGUGUUGGUUUGUGGUGGUUUGUCUAUUGUUGUUGGUUAUGUUGUUCUGUUCUGGUAAAUCAUUUCAACCUAAAAAGGAAAAAGAAUAUGAAAAUGGAAAUUUAUAUUCAGAUUUGGAAUGUGAUAUUUGAAAAGGAAGAAGGGAGGGAAUGAGGAGGAAGAUGAUGAGGACAUGGAAGUUGGAAGCUUGAAAUCUAUAAAUAUAUUUUAAUUAAAAACAA